This 490-nucleotide ribosomal RNA is filed under the name uncultured bacterium. Its description in RNAcentral is "partial 16S ribosomal RNA". It matches the Rfam family "Bacterial small subunit ribosomal RNA", at positions 30 to 507 of the family's 1533-position model. The record is from RNAcentral.
AUUGAACGCUGGCGGCAGGCCUAACACAUGCAAGUCGAACGGUAACAGGAAACAGCUUGCUGUUUCGCUGACGAGUGGCGGACGGGUGAGUCAUGUCUGGGAAACUGCCUGAUGUAGGGGGAUAACUACUGGAAACGGUAGCUAAUACCGCAUAACGUCGCAAGCCCAAAGAGGGGGACCUUCUGGCCUCUUGCCAUCGUAUGUGCCCAGAUGGGAUUAGCUAGUAGGUGGGGUAACGGGUCACCUAGGCGGCGAUCCCUAGCUGGUCUGAGAGGAUGACCAGCCACACUGGAACGGAGACAGGGUCCAGACGCCUGCGGGAGGCAGCAGUGGGGAAUAUUGGACAAUGGGGGCAAGCCUGAUGCAGCCGUGCCGCGUGUAUGAAGAAGGCCUUCGGGUUGUAAAGUACUUUCAGCGGGGAGGAAGGGAGUAAAGUUAAUACCUUGACUCAUUGACGUUACCCGCAGAAGAAGCACCGGCUAACUACGUG